This 84-nucleotide transfer RNA is filed under the name Bacillus cereus. Its description in RNAcentral is "tRNA-OTHER". It matches the Rfam family "tRNA". Rfam says of the family: Transfer RNA (tRNA) molecules are approximately 80 nucleotides in length. Their secondary structure includes four short double-helical elements and three loops (D, anti-codon, and T loops). Further hydrogen bonds mediate the characteristic L-shaped molecular structure. tRNAs have two regions of fundamental functional importance: the anti-codon, which is responsible for specific mRNA codon recognition, and the 3' end, to which the tRNAs corresponding amino acid is attached (by aminoacyl-tRNA synthetases). tRNAs cope with the degeneracy of the genetic code in two manners: having more than one tRNA (with a specific anti-codon) for a particular amino acid; and 'wobble' base-pairing, i.e. permitting non-standard base-pairing at the 3rd anti-codon position. Lineage: Bacteria; Bacillati; Bacillota; Bacilli; Caryophanales; Bacillaceae. The record is from RNAcentral.
GCAGAGUUAGCUUAGUGGUAAAGCUAUUAGGAGCGCUCAAUAACAGACUAUUAGUCGCAGGUUCGAUUCCUGCACUCUGCGCUA